This is a long non-coding RNA of Fukomys damarensis (Damara mole-rat), 2904 nucleotides long. The record is from Ensembl. NCBI's taxonomy places the organism in Eukaryota, Metazoa, Chordata, Mammalia, Rodentia, Bathyergidae.
CUCCUGUUGAUUAACAGAGAUGCGCCAAACCCAGUGACACUUCUGAGUCGGAAUGUGAUGUCGACCACAAAUCUGAGAAGAGAAAAAGUACGUACAAGUGCAGGAGAGAAGUUACUGAAGAGUGUUGAAGUCUGAUCUCAUGAGUUGAAAGAUGCUCUACAGCUCACAAAGGCAUCUUCCUUCUUUAUCAAGAGUUUACAGUUCAGGACACAAGCCAAGCAUCACUCAAGUGACCAUGCAACAAGACCACCUAUAUUUGGAAAUUAAUGAGCUAUGUUUUCAGGAUGUUGGUCAUCCCAUCCAUUCAGUGACCCCAAAAUCUGAUUGGAACUCCAUUCCUGAAUUUCCAAAGGCUACUGUGACUUUCAGGCAAAUGGGCAAUACAGUCUUACGGACCCCACACACCAAGUUGGUACUGAGUGUGGAGAAAAUUAGAGAGGACAAGCAAGACUUAAAGACUCUGAAACAACUGACACAAAUCCAAGUCAAGCUCAGCUUCUAGCAGUCCAAAAUCUCAACCUGGCUCCCUGGGGUGCUUCCUAUGAAGAUUGGGAAAAAUAAGAUGGUGUCAUGGAAAACUCAUGGCCAGUCUUGGGAAGUAUCUAAGUUAAGGGUUGCAGAUUAUUCCAGCGAGUACAAUUUCUUGCAGACUUAAAAAAGCCAAAGUUGCUUAUAAAGCUGGUACCAUUUGUACAGUAGAAAGAGGAGUGUGUGGAAUGAUGACUAAGCAAGAUGAGACAUAGCUAAAUUAUAAACAAAUUAGAAUAAACAUGGGCUCAGGACUGCAACAGGUGACUUUCGAAACUGAUAGCUAAGUUGUUUUCACUGAACUAUGGGAAUAGGUCUCAAAUUAUUUCCCAUGCAUAAGUCAAGCAGAUGCUACUUUUAAUGUGAGGUGUGGCUGCAGGUCUCAAGAGAACAGUCCAACGCCAGAAAAGAAAAACAGCAUCUGUCCUUAGAUGGUAUACAAAAAGUCAAUUGUUAAAGGCAUGAAGUCUAUCCUGAUCGUUUUCACCUAAAUGAAAAUAAGCAAUAGUGGUGGAAUGUAUACAGCAAGGUGGAAAGAGAAAGCAGUGCAAAGAAGACUCAGUUACCAAGUCAGGAUUUUAGAAUUGGUCAGGGCUUCUGUGACAAGCUGAACAACUGUAGAAGCUGUUCUUCACGCCCAGCCAAACGGCCUUGGGCUUGUGGUGUGAGGCUGCGCCCUUACAGACAGUGUGCAUGGAGUGAGAAGAUGAAAGCUUAUGUGGAGCCCUGGAAGCCCCAGUUUCUGAGAGAUAACAGCAAGAGCAGCCCAUGAAAGUAGCUGCUUAAAGGCAGUAGAGAGACAGCUGCAAAGCCAGGAGAUGUGCUAUCAGCACGCCCUGGGAAGGAAGGGGGAGUGGUCAACAUUUCCACUGCUGAGCAAACUAUCUGACAGCCACAACUCAAAGGAGAAGCUGAUUUUGGCUUCUGGUUUCAGGGCAUUGAGUUCAUGGCCCACUGGCUCCAAGGCAGAAACAUUAUGGUAGGAGAGCGUGGCAGAGCAAAGGUGCUUAGUUCAUAGCAACUAGGAAGUACAGCAGGGAAAGUGUGCCAGAGAAGAGGAGGCUGGGGACUAGAAACAGUACCCAGGGGCACAGCUCCGUGACCCACCCAGAUAUACCCAGAAGUGUGUUUUACUGAUCCUCUGGGCAGCUCCCAAGCCAAUCAAGUUAUUGACCAUCACAGAGGGCAAUUUAGGAAAGAAGAGGGGUUGUGCUGAAUUGCACCAAGGGGCCUAAGAAGAUCAGACCAGAAAAAUAUACAUUCAGUUUCUUGGGCAUUAAGUGGUGGUGACCUCAGCAAAAGCAAUUUCAGUAGCAAGGUUACAAUGGAAGAUUAGUAUACUUUAUGCAAAAAUUAGGAGAUUUGGAAAGAUCAAGAGAGGAAGGGCAGAGACAAUAUUCAAUUAGUUUGAAGAAACGACAAAGAUGGUACAGUGCACACAGAUAUACUUAGGGGAAGCUGGGCAGGAGAGAAUGCAGAACUGAUUGGGUCAAAGCGGAGGAAAGAGGUAGGAAGCUGGGCUCCUAGCUCAGGCUGGGUAAGGCAAGGUAUGAGGGAGCAGCUUGCUCUGAGGAUGGGAGGAUGGGAAAGAGAUCGGAAGAGGGCUGAAUGGUUCUGUGAGGAGUUUUAAAUUUUAUAUUUGGCUUCUUAACCGUGUGGAGUUUAUUUUAAUAAAUGGUGUCAGGCUUUAAAAAAAAAAGUCUUCCCUUAUUACUUACGGCACUUAUUGCUGAGGGAGUAAAUAAUGAAUGGCCAGGCCCAGGCCUAAUCUACACUCACAAGGGCUGAGAGAUAUUAGGGGCAGCAGGGGCCUCCCACACGGCCUGCCCUUCACUGGCCACUCCCUCUGAGCUUCCUCGUUCUCUGGUUCCUUCUGCCAGCCACACAAGAGGUUCUCACGCCAUUAGGAAACACCAGGGUGAUGCAUGGGGUGGCGUUUAACCAUCUUUGAGCUCCUUGUGCAGGCUGGCAACAGUGUCUUAAUUCUGGCAGCUACUUAGUUUCCCUGCCCCGAUUCCACCAGAGGCAAAAGCAAGCGGCCCACAGAAGAAAAGCACGGUGGCAGAAAAGAGCACUGGAAAAAAUGCAAAGAAAAACACAGAAGGCUUAGACCAGAUGACUGCUGAAAUUAAGCCAGGGAGGUGAUGAAGAAAGAGACUGGUCAUAGAGUUAAAAGGCUUUUCUGCUUUUAAGAUCAUGUGGAUUACCUGGUGGAUUGGAUUAUGCAGUUCACUUCUAAACAGGUUUCCUUCCCUCCCACACACCACAAGAUACCUAUUUACUGAGACCCAAAAGUUCUGUGUGUAAAGCCACUCAUGAUGAGAGAUCAGGGCUUAUAAUAGACAAACCACAUUACUCUGUUAGUAACAUCUCCUG